RNAcentral lists this ribosomal RNA (468 nucleotides) under uncultured bacterium. Its description in RNAcentral is "partial 16S ribosomal RNA". It matches the Rfam family "Bacterial small subunit ribosomal RNA", at positions 28 to 523 of the family's 1533-position model. The record is from RNAcentral.
GAUGAACGCUGGCGGCGUGCCUAACACAUGCAAGUCGAGCGAUCUUCUUCGGAAGAGAGCGGCGGACGGGUGAGUAACGCGUGGGUAACCUGCCCUGUACACACGGAUAACAUACCGAAAGGUAUGCUAAUACGAGAUAAUAUACAUUUAUCGCAUGGUAGAAGUAUCAAAGCUCCGGCGGUACAGGAUGGACCCGCGUCUGAUUAGCUAGUUGGUAAGGUAACGGCUUACCAAGGCGACGAUCAGUAGCCGACCUGAGAGGGUGAUCGGCAACAUUGGAACUGAGACACGGUCCAAACUCCUACGGGAGGCAGCAGUGGGGAAUAUUGCAAAAUGGGCGAAAGCCUGAUGCAGCAACGCCGCGUGAGCGAUGAAGGCCUUCGGGUCGUAAAGCUCUGUCCUCAAGGAAGAUAAUGACGGUACUUGAGGAGGAAGCCCCGGCUAACUACGUGCCAGCAGCCGCCGUAA